GGAGGUGUGGCUCAAGUGGUAGAGCACCUGCCUCACAAUCACAAGGUCCUGAGUUCAAACUUCAGUGCUACCA
This 73-nucleotide transfer RNA is filed under the name Dipodomys ordii (Ord's kangaroo rat). It matches the Rfam family "tRNA". From Rfam's summary of the family: Transfer RNA (tRNA) molecules are approximately 80 nucleotides in length. Their secondary structure includes four short double-helical elements and three loops (D, anti-codon, and T loops). The record is from Rfam by way of RNAcentral. Lineage: Eukaryota; Metazoa; Chordata; Mammalia; Rodentia; Heteromyidae.